GAUUUAUUCUAAUUUUGUGGACUAGCAUAUUUCGUUUGUGUUAAAAGGUUCCGGAUUAGUUCGACUAUCAAAUUUAUCGGAGUAUUUGUUUAGACCCAUUUGGUUAAUGAUCACCAUUUUGUGAUGGGUCAUUUUGAUGCACCUAAUUUUUAGUAUGUAUUUUGUUAAGUGUGGGUCUGGUGCUAUAUGAUUAAUUUGGACCCAUAAUGGGCUGGGCCAUUUUAUAAGCACAAGAGGAAAUCCUACUCCCAUCCUCAUAUAUAUGUGUGUGUCUAGCCCAUUGAGAUACACGGCUGUAGAGUGAAAAAGAGGAAAGGGAGCAGCUACUCCUCUCUAGAAAUAUCUGGUGCUUUUGUGAGGAUUUCAUCAUCUCCAGUCAAAACAAGAGCAAAUUCCCUUAGUCACUCAAGCUUCCAUGGCGUCUUCAUCUUCAGAUUGGGCUAUGGUUGAGUGCUCCAUUUGUUUAAUCCCUCUCAAAGGAAGAAGUGUUGGGACGUCUUUCGUGCUCACGUCGUUCUUCGGUUUUUCUCGUUUAAAACUUCUCGUGUUUUCAGAUUAAAGCUGCUACCUGUUGCCGUUUGCAAGCUAAUUGGGUGUCCUUAGCAUAAACAAAUAAAACUCUGUUUUAUGUUGGUUUUGUCCUUUUCUAACCGAUUAUGGUUUUGGUUGAGUACCUUGAUUGGAUUAGUCUUUGACAAAAAAAGGGGUAUUUAUACCUUGUGAAAAAAUUUUACCACGUGUUGGCAUUCAUGGUGUGUUGGCGUAACCAUGAGAAAGAUGGCUUUCUUUC
Long non-coding RNA from Rhododendron vialii, 790 nucleotides. RefSeq lists it as uncharacterized. Lineage: Eukaryota; Viridiplantae; Streptophyta; Magnoliopsida; Ericales; Ericaceae. The transcript has 2 exons. The record is from RefSeq and is a predicted model, not a curated record.